GGAGGGUGCAAGCGUUAAUCGGAAUUACUGGGCGUAAAGCGAGUGUAGGCGGCUGCAUAAGUCGGAUGUGAAAGCCCUGGGCUUAACCUGGGAACUGCAUUCGAUACUGUGCGGCUAGAGUCUGAUAGAGGGAAGUGGAAUUCCAGGUGUAGCGGUGAAAUGCGUAGAUAUCUGGAGGAACAUCAGUGGCGAAGGCGGCUUCCUGGAUCAAGACUGACGCUGAGGCUCGAAAGCGUGGGGAGCAAACAGGAUUAGAUACCCUGGUAGUCCACGCCCUAAACUAUGUCAACUAGACGUUGGCCCCUUUAAUGGGGUUAGUGUCGAAGCUAACGCGUUAAGUUGACCGCCUGGGGAGUACGGCCGCAAGGUUG
RNAcentral lists this ribosomal RNA (371 nucleotides) under uncultured bacterium. RNAcentral describes it as "bacterial SSU rRNA". It matches the Rfam family "Bacterial small subunit ribosomal RNA", at positions 527 to 896 of the family's 1533-position model. The record is from RNAcentral.